CUUCCCACUCGUCAAUAGAGAGAACGUUAUGCUCUUGAAUUGUGACCCUCUUUCCUUCGUUAAGAGAUCCUUUUUUCAACAAAGGCUAUGAACACUUCUAUGAUCCUGACACGGGCUAUCUGAAUUAUCGCCUGAAGAUGGUGUCAAGGAAGACCUCACGUCGAACCAUCAAGAAGAGUAUUUCACCCCAGUCGGGAGGCCCAACCCAUAGGAGGAAGACUGACCUGGACCACCAGCUUGUUGGUGACGCUUGCAAGGAGGCCAUAUCAUUCCUUGUCUACUCGGCCGAUGAAAAACAAAUCUAUCAGAAGAUGGAGGUGUUCCAGUAUCGCCAGGAGCUAGUUUAUAGUCCAGACAGAAGCACAGAUGUCCUCAGUCUUUCCCAGGUUUCUGGACAUCAAAGGAUUGGUGAAUCAGGACUUUUUGCUGAUGUUCGACGAUGAAACAUCCUCCAAGCUCCUUGAAAAGUGGGACACUGUAUUGAAGCCUAAAGUCAUCAAACUGGCUAAAUCCUUGACCACUACCACUGAUUUGCGUCACCUCCUGAAGUCUGCAGAAAAACUGCCAGAGAAUGACAGCGAAAACAUUAAGUGGAUUCUCUUGUGGAUAGUGCAAUGUUUCAAACUCAGCGAUAUUGUUUUAUGUGAUUUGGGGUGUUUGCCUUAUUUUGCCCUCAGACUGGGACAAUGAUAUGUCCUCGCUGCUGCUGCUGCUUCAUCUCCUCCCACCACCAGCAGGAGGGAAGAAGACCAAGAUCAGUGCCAGUGAUGCUGUGGGCAGACUAGUGCACUUUCAUAAGUCAUGCUGCAGCAUUGAAGACCAUCCUGAUGGGAGCCAUGGUCGACAGCCAUACCUCCUUGCCGUCGGAAGAAGACGGAGCAAGAUUGACAACUACUUCAUCGUGGUGGACAAGAGGCUUGUUCCCUGCCAGGAAACUAGUAGUCUGUGUGCGUUUCAUGAACUGUUCAAAGCCCACUUUGUCUUUAACCUGACGUAUGAUGAUGCUCUUGUCAAAGCGUGUCACAGAAACAGCCAGUCAUAUAUAUCUCAUUUGACAAUUGAGCGUAGAUUCUAUCCCUCCACCAAGUUUAGAUUGGUCUGUGCUCAAGAUAGUUGUAGAUGGCAGUUUUCAACAUACUCAGGUUUCAGAAAACAUUUGAAUAGUAUUCAUAAGGAUAUUGUUCAAGUAGUUGAUGCAUUGAGCUUAGAAGGGCCCUCUCAUGUUGCUGAUUUUUCCAGUCCCGUUAGAAGCUCCACAAAUAGGUGGCGACAUUGGUGUCCCACUUGAUAAUGCUCUAGGUGAUUGUUUUGAGAAAAAUUGACAGUCUUGCUAAAGAUAUGUGUGCCUCCAUCCUUGCCAAGUUGCAGGCUAGUGGUGUUCCAAAUAGUGUUGUGUCAACAGUAGUGUAUGAUUUAGAAGAGCUUACUACUGGUCUGCACUACUGGUAACCCCUCUACAUCUCCUGUAAAGGAUAGUUUUGAGAACUUUGAAAACCCAUUUGCCAGU
Molecule: long non-coding RNA, 1507 nt
Organism: Coregonus clupeaformis (lake whitefish)
Lineage: Eukaryota; Metazoa; Chordata; Actinopteri; Salmoniformes; Salmonidae
Exons: 4
Source: RefSeq, a predicted model, not a curated record